AAGUAAAAGACUGAGUUGCAACCUGAAUGUGUUUGUGCAGAGAUUUAGAAAAAGCUGGCGACAGUAAUGCCCUGAUACGAACCUUAAGGACAAUAACAGUCAUUAAGGUCCCUGAAAAUGGCUAUCACA
This 129-nucleotide small nucleolar RNA is filed under the name Castor canadensis (American beaver). RNAcentral's name for it is "Small nucleolar RNA SNORA33 (ENSCCNG00000025014.1)". It matches the Rfam family "Small nucleolar RNA SNORA33". From Rfam's summary of the family: ACA33 is a member of the H/ACA class of snoRNA that guide the sites of modification of uridines to pseudouridines. Lineage: Eukaryota; Metazoa; Chordata; Mammalia; Rodentia; Castoridae. The record is from Rfam by way of RNAcentral.